Molecule: ribosomal RNA, 468 nt
Filed under: uncultured bacterium
Lineage: Bacteria
Description: partial 16S ribosomal RNA
Rfam family: Bacterial small subunit ribosomal RNA
Source: RNAcentral
GACGAACGCUGGCGGCGUGCUUAACACAUGCAAGUCGAACGGAAAGGCCCUGCUUUUGUGGGGUGCUCGAGUGGCGAACGGGUGAGUAACACGUGAGUAACCUGCCCUUGACUUUGGGAUAACUUCAGGAAACUGGGGCUAAUACCGGAUAGGAGCUCCUGCUGCAUGGUGGGGGUUGGAAAGUUUCGGCGGUUGGGGAUGGACUCGCGGCUUAUCAGCUUGUUGGUGGGGUAGUGGCUUACCAAGGCUUUGACGGGUGGCCGGCCUGAGAGGGUGACCGGCCACAUUGGGACUGAGAUACGGCCCAGACCCCUACGGGAGGCAGCAGUGGGGAAUAUUGCACAAUGGGCGGAAGCCUGAUGCAGCAACGCCGCGUGCGGGAUGACGGCCUUCGGGUUGUAAACCGCUUUCGCCUGUGACGAAGCGUGAGUGACGGUAAUGGGUAAAGAAGCACCGGCUAACUACGUG